RNAcentral lists this ribosomal RNA (624 nucleotides) under Penicillium adametzii. Its description in RNAcentral is "eukaryotic LSU rRNA". It matches the Rfam family "Eukaryotic large subunit ribosomal RNA", at positions 10 to 649 of the family's 3401-position model. Lineage: Eukaryota; Fungi; Ascomycota; Eurotiomycetes; Eurotiales; Aspergillaceae. The record is from RNAcentral.
AUCAGGUAGGGAUACCCGCUGAACUUAAGCAUAUCAAUAAGCGGAGGAAAAGAAACCAACAGGGAUUGCCCCAGUAACGGCGAGUGAAGCGGCAAGAGCUCAAAUUUGAAAGCUGGCUCCUUCGGGGUCCGCAUUGUAAUUUGCAGAGGAUGCUUCGGGAGCGGCCCCCAUCUAAGUGCCCUGGAACGGGCUGUCAUAGAGGGUGAGAAUCCCGUAUGGGAUGGGGUGUCCGCGCCCGUGUGAAGCUCCUUCGACGAGUCGAGUUGUUUGGGAAUGCAGCUCUAAAUGGGUGGUAAAUUUCAUCUAAAGCUAAAUAUUGGCCGGAGACCGAUAGCGCACAAGUAGAGUGAUCGAAAGAUGAAAAGCACUUUGAAAAGAGAGUUAAAAAGCACGUGAAAUUGUUGAAAGGGAAGCGUUUGCGACCAGACUCGCCUACGGGGUUCAGCCUACCUUCGGGUAGGUGUACUUCCCCGUGGGCGGGCCAGCGUCGGUUUGGGCGGCCGGUCAAAGGCCCUCGGAAUGUAACGCCUCUCGGGGCGUCUUAUAGCCGAGGGUGCCAUGCGGCCUGCCCGGACCGAGGAACGCGCUUCGGCUCGGACGCUGGCAUAAUGGUCGUAAACGACC